This 393-nucleotide ribosomal RNA is filed under the name uncultured bacterium. Its description in RNAcentral is "partial 16S ribosomal RNA". It matches the Rfam family "Bacterial small subunit ribosomal RNA", at positions 523 to 918 of the family's 1533-position model. The record is from RNAcentral.
AUACAGAGGAUGCAAGCGCUAUCCGGAUUUAUUGGGUUUAAAGGGAGCGCAGGCGGAGAUGCAAGCGUGACGUCAAAUUUCGGGGCUCAACCCCGUCUCGCGUCGCGAACUGCGUCCCUUGGUUGCGGGAAGGGGAGGCGGAACUCGUGGUGUAGCGGUGAAAUGCAUAGAUAUCACGAAGAACUCCGAUCGCGAAGGCAGCCUUCCGGCCCGUCAACGACGCUCAUGCUCGAAGGUGCGGGUAUCAAACAGGAUUAGAUACCCUGGUAGUCCGCACAGUAAACGAUGGACACCCGCGGUUUGGCCUGUAUGGCUGAGCCGCCAAGCGAAAGCGUUAAGUGUCCCACCUGGGGAGUACGCUGGCAACGGUGAAACUUAAAGGAAUUGACGGGG